RNAcentral lists this ribosomal RNA (253 nucleotides) under uncultured bacterium. RNAcentral's name for it is "partial 16S ribosomal RNA". It matches the Rfam family "Bacterial small subunit ribosomal RNA", at positions 524 to 776 of the family's 1533-position model. The record is from RNAcentral.
UACGAAGGGGGCUAGCGUUGCUCGGAAUCACUGGGCGUAAAGCGCACGUAGGCGGAUUGCUAAGUCAGGGGUGAAAUCCUGGAGCUCAACUCCAGAACUGCCUUUGAUACUGAAGAUCUUGAGUUCGGGAGAGGUGAGUGGAACUGCGAGUGUAGAGGUGCAAUUCGUAGAUAUUCGCAAGAACACCAGUGGCGAAGGCGGCUCACUGGCCCGAUACUGACGCUGAUGCACGAAAGCGUGGGGAGCAAACAGG